ACACUGCAAAAAAACAAACAGCGCCACUCUUCUCUCCCAAGAGCAAACGGUAAAACAGCCAGUGGAUUUACUGCAGCCUGACUAUUAAAAUAACUAAACUGGCACCAUAUUUGUUUGUGGUUUCUUCUUUAGUGUUUUAAUUAUCAUAAAAUUGUAAUUAAUAUGGUUUGAGAUGUGAAAGAAAAGCUGCUGCUGACAGGAAAAUGUGCGGCUCUGUGGAGAUACUCGCCAUCUGUGCUGGCAUCGUCCACCAGUAAGAUCUCUGUGAGCAGGGCUGCAGGAGCUGUGUGUAAGACACUGUAGACGGUCCUCAGCAGAGUGGACCAUGCCUCAUUAUGAAACACUAUGAUCACACUGGUUGUAGGGAGGCCAGGACAACGCCGAAACCUCUGUUCCAAGCAGCUGUCAGAGCGGAACUGAAAGUUAACAGAGUCAUUCGGUGUGACACAAAGGGUUUACCUCGCGCUCCUGGUGCCCUGGGGUCUUGGAGAGGCCUCCGAAGGUGAGGCUUAAGCUCCUCUGCAGUGUAAAAGCCAGGUGGACAUUUGGGAUUUGGCAACAGGACAACAGGGGUGGAU
Long non-coding RNA from Dicentrarchus labrax (European seabass), 578 nucleotides. RefSeq lists it as uncharacterized. The record is from RefSeq and is a predicted model, not a curated record. The transcript is spliced from 3 exons. NCBI's taxonomy places the organism in Eukaryota, Metazoa, Chordata, Actinopteri, Moronidae.